CUUUGUCCGUGAUUAUAUCGGUUUUCAAUGACUCAAUUUGGCGAGCCAGGCAGGAGAAGGUUCUGCUCGGCUGUGAGACCAGCUCGGGUGGAGGUCCCCCUCAGGGCACCCACGGGAUAUUCCUGGAAGAGGGGCUCCACUGCCCGACCUGUUCAUCCAGCAGCAGACAAGAACUCCUGACUACUAAAACUCCGGACAAAAAGGUAUGUUUAUACUUGAAAAAUAGGUACCUUUUUGGUAUAGGCAGUUGGUAAGACACUGAGAGACAUCUCGUGCACAACGCAUGCCUAAGUUGUGACAGCUCUGCAGAGUCUGGUUUGGCUUGGUUUGGUUUGGUAACCUGUGUCCCGUGGUGGGGAGCGGCAGUCGGUUUUUGUUGUGCCUUGAUAAUCUGUGUCCCAUGGUGGGGGCAACAGUGGCAGUAGGACAACCCGUUCUGUUGUCAGUUUGUGGUUUAAAGGUACCUUGGUCAUCCAUAAUUCGAGAGGCUAGCCUGAGUUUUGGGACGUGAAGGGUCCCAUCAUAGGUCGCAGAAAAUCCUGAUUGCGGCUCCGCGCGCGCCAGGUGUGUGUGUAGUGUGCACAGAUUUGUGUUUUGUGGGUUUGCGUGUCUAGGCUGUGGAAGAAUUAUUGGUGCAUGUGUUUGUUGUGUUUUGUAAGAGUCUGUCUUGUAAGUGAUUUGACCUGGAAGGCGUACGCAUGGUCAGGAAAGGCUGUUGGUAAAACGUGGGAGACGUUCCACAUGCAACUUGUGCCUCUGCAGUGUGCUUGCAAGCUGGAUUGGUUUCUGGUCAGUUGUACCUGGUUGCCAGCAGAGAAAGCUGUUAAACUGUUGUACCAGGCCAUGGAGGGCUCGGAUUGUUGUUGCUGGCAGAAGGGGAUUUUGCCAUUUGCUGUGCCAUAGAGGGCUCAGUUUGCUAGAAUCCGGGACUAGCAAUUGUAAGGGCAAAUCCUGAUUUGUGGUUGUUACACUGUGUGAAUGUGUCCUGACUGUGAGAAAGAUUGUGAGAGAGUUUGUUGAGACAUGCUACCAGCACGAAGUGAUUGAGGAGUUUGGACCCGCAGUUCCGUUUGCGGGCGACUGAAAUGGCCGGGGGAAAACAAAGUGAGUGGGGUGUAUGAAAACCCUUAAAGCCCCCUCCCUGCUGUGACUGUGGUGUGUGUGUUUUGGUUAUUCACUGUAACUGUAUUUUUGAGGCAACAUCCAUCUUGUGUUAAAAGUUUUAAGUGCAGCGUAUGCUGAGUGAAAGAGUUGAUUAGCCUCUGAGAGCUGAGUUGUGAAUGUUUUAGAAGUAGAUUGAGGACAGACAAAGGCAGGACCAGUUUGCCACGAAGUAAUAGAAACCCUUGACAAGAGCUUAGUUGUGAUUUUAGGUAUGGAGACUGUGUUUGUAGAUUGUUGGAAUUAAAAUAAGGAUAACUUCGGUCUGAAAACUCGAUCUGACCAGAGGAAUAAAAGGAAUUCCUUUACCUAAGUGGUUUGGGCUUGACUUGUAGGAGUUUGUGAAUUCAGCAAACUGGUAGAUAGACAGAGGAAAUAAGAGAAUGUAUUUAGAAGGUUUAUAUCAGAUGUCUGUUGGAAGACUAGUGGCUCUGGAUUAGGAGCAACAGGCUGUGGAGAAUUUAGAAAGUCAAGAAGAAGUGAAUGGAAUAGCUUGUAUUUUUGGGAAUUUUCCUGCAGCUUUUGGUGCAUCUAGAGGUUGUCACUGUGCCUGGGUGCUUUUGCAGUGUAAAAUUUGUGCAGGAUGUUACUAUUGUUCUUCUGCUAAUGGGUACAGAGAAUGUGCCCAGUGUAAACAACAGCUCCUUGAUCAAGCUGAUUUAGAGCAAAGAUUUUAACAAAUUAAGUAAAACAAUUUUUGUUUCAACUUUAGCUCCAGCUUUAACUCCAACUCCAUCUUUAACCAAAGCAAUUUUUAUUUUAACUCCAUUUCUAUCCCCCUACUCUGACUACUCCACUUACUCUUAAAUCUCUCCCACUGCCCAGCAGUGACAGUGAGGAAGAGGAGCCCUUUCCAAAGGUUCCUACAGCAUAACGGACUCAGAAACAAACCAAAGAAGAGAACAUCACAACGGGGAGGCAGUGGUUGCUCAUGUUAAGAAAAACUGAGAUGGACCGGAGGAUCUUACCCUAGGAGACCCUCUAGUUAUAAUGAAACUAGGGAACAAAGAAAAAAAAUGAAGUUUUUGAUAAACACAGGGGCAACAUAUUCAGUGUUAAAUAAAGCUUUAAUACCAAUAACAGAUGAUUAUGUUAUGGUAAAUGGGGUAACUGGCCAAUCUGAAAAAGCCUAUUUUUGUAGGCCAUUGAAAUAUAAACUUGGGAAACAAUGGGGAAUUUACAGGUUUUUAUAUAUGCCCAAUGCUCCAUCAGCACUUUUGGGUAAGGAUCUAUUGGAAUUAUUAGAGGUAAAAAAAAAAAAAUUAUUUAAAAAUUGAGAGAUUACUUUGGAGGUUGAGGACCCACAAUAUGUGGAAUUGUUAAGCUUGAUGUAGAUAACUAAUGAGGCUAAAGUUAAAAGUGAAGGUGAGAUUUACAGGAAAAUAGAUCAGGUAUUUUUUGGGGUUUGAGCUUCUAACAUACCAGGAGAGCAAAGAAUGCACCCCCAGUGCAAGUUACGUAAAAAAACAAAACAAAACAAACAAACAAACAAAAAAAAAAACCCCAAACCAAGAACUAGUCAGAGUUAACCAAUACCCCCUGAAGAAAAGUUAAGGGAUUAGCCCAGUGAUUGAAAUUUCUUCCUGUUAAAAAGCCUGAUGUAUCAUAGCUUUUAAUAGGAUAACUGAGGAUUUAUACCCACUGCUUCCCAACCCUUACACUUUGUUAGCUUGUUUAACACCUGAAUUAACAUGGUUUAUUGUUUUAGAUUUAAAGGAUGCUUUCUUUUGCCUUCCUCUCCAUGAAGACAGCCAAAAAAAUUUUUGUAUUUGAAUAAAAAAAACUUAGCUCACAUGGACAGUGCUUCUGCAGGAGUUCAAAAAAAAAUUGCCCACCUUGAUUGGAGAACAACUAGCAAAAGAUCUGGAAUCCUGGGAAGCUCCAUCAGGAGAAGGACAGCUGUUACAGUAUGUGGACAACCUCCUGAUAGCUACCAAAACUCAAGAGGCAUGUCUGGAGUGGAUGGUAAACCUCCAAAACUUUUUGGGCCUACAGGGGUAUUGCAUAUCCCAAGAGAAAGCCCAGAUGGUGAAGCAAACAGUUAUUUAUUUGGGCUACGAGGUUAGUACUGGACCAAGAACCUUAGGACAGGAUCACAAGGAAGCAAUAUGCCAGACCCCAAAACUCCAGAUAGUAAAAGAACUGAGAACUUUUCUAGGCGUGACAGGGUGGUGCAGACUGUGGAUUUAUAACUGUGGGUUGUUUGUUAAACCUCUGUAUGCCUUGAUCACAGAAGGGAGCAGGGAUCUCCAAAAGAAACAACACAAGCCUUCAACCAGCUAAAGAAGGCCCUCAUGUCAGCUCCAGCCCUGGAAAUUCCAGAUGUGAGUAAACCAUUCUUUUUGUUUUCAUCCGAGAAGCAGGGUAUUGUCUUGGGAAUACUAGCACAAAACCUGGGCCUGUAUUGCAGGGCAGUCGCCUAAGCAGCUGCAUGCAGCAGCUAAGGGAUGGCCAGGGUGCCUCAGAGCCAUUGCAACAGUGGCAGUGAACAUCCAAGAAGCACGCAAGUUCACCCUAGGCCAGAAGAUGACCGUGCCAGUAUCCCACACAGUGUCUGCAGUCCUAAAAGUGAAAGGGGUACAUUGGCCCUCCCCACAGAGAUUCCUGAAGUACCAAGCCAUACUGGUAGAACAAGAUGAUGUUGAGAUUGUGGUAACUAACAUUGUGAAUCCAGCUUCCUUCCUCAGCGGGAGUAUGGGAGAACCAGUGAUCCAUGACUGCCUGGAGGCCAUCAAAGCCACCUACUCCAGUUGCCCGGAUCUGAAGGAUACCCUGCUUGAGAAUACUGAGACCUGGUCCACCGAUGGAAGCAGCUAUGUAAUCAGUGGAAGUCUUUUGCAGAAAAACUUUGGAACCACGGUGGGAGGGACCAUUCCAAGUGCUCCUCAUCAUCUUUAAUGCAAUCAAGAUCAAGGAACAAAGCACCUGGAUCCAUCACUCACAAGUGAAGAAAGCUCCUGAGAAACUCUGGAAAGUUAUAUUGGGUGACAAUAAACUAAAAUUAAAACUUUCUUGGAAAAAUAAAUGAUAAGUAUAAUAUAAUAAAUUUUUGAAAAAUAGAAAAACUUGUAAUUGUAAUGGGUAAUCAAAUAGGUAUAGCCUGGAAAGUUGUGGCAUUUAUGAUCAUUGCUAUAGCCAAAGCUAAUGCAGUACCACUGCAUUAUAAUGUGACUGGUAAAUAUAAGUGCCAAGGGAAAGCUUAUGAUUUUAUCUCCUGUAAGUCUCUGAUUCAGAUGCUAAAAGUUACAAAUGCAACUGUGUAGGAAAACUUAAUUUAACUUGUGCAUUUGUAACUUUGUCAAAGUUGAAGAAUGUGAUUUUUCCUAUUAGGCACAUGUUGCAUCCCACCAACAUAUAAAGGUAAACUUGACUACUGUUCAAGAAAUAUUGCCUGUGCCUAUAGAGAUGAACUUAACUUUAGUUGCACAAUUAUUGAAACAUCAUGGAUUAAAGAAAAAAAGAAAAAAAAAUAGAAAGAAAGAGAACUUUGAUUACAAUGCAUCAUGCCACAGAGACUAUACAGAAAGUAUUUAAAAGUUAGUAGAAGGCCCAUCCCAUCAUUGGUGGGAUGUGCUUUCUGGGUAGUCACCAGCUGCAACCAGUUUGCUCAAUACCUUGGUUUAUUUGAUUAUUGUUUUGUUUAAUUUAGUUGGUAUAAUUUUGAUUUUGUUUGUUAUAAUAUUUUUUUGGAAUUGGAAAAUGUUGAAGCGACUAGCAGCUUUAACUUUAACAUUAAGAGCAUAUAGUACAGUUUUAAAGGACCCCUACCACAGUUUUACUAGAUAAAGAAGAAUUUACAUAUUAGUAAAAUAAUUUACUAACUUUGAAGAAGGAGUGGGGAAAUGAAACAUGAUUUUAAAGAGUUAAGAUUUUAGCUAAGAGUUAGAAGCAAUUUAUAUUGCUCAAGAUGUAAGUUAGAUUAGUAAAUUGUAGGUUAAUGAUUAUUAGAUGCCUAAACUAGAGCUAACUGUUAUAUUAUGAGCUUGUUUAUAGAAAAAGUGGAGUAAAUGAACCGUCAUAAGAACAGAUUGAAACCACUAAGAACAAUGGCUAGCACCUGGACUUGGUAUUAAUCAGUCACGAAGCAGGGGACUUUGGAUCGUGCCAGAGGGUCACAGAGACCUGAUGAAGACUCUCCUGACUUCAUCCUUUGAGACCACUGACCCAAUUCGAGACCACCGACCCAGUUCAAGAGAAGAAUUGCGCACAUGUGAAGGACUAAUAGCCUCAUGUCAAUACAGAGCGGGGAUGGGAGGUGCUGGGGUUAUGCAUAUGUAUUGUAUGUAAGAUCUUAGAAAAUAAAUAGAGAGCAAA
Molecule: long non-coding RNA, 5475 nt
Organism: Hirundo rustica (Barn swallow)
Lineage: Eukaryota; Metazoa; Chordata; Aves; Passeriformes; Hirundinidae
Exons: 2
Source: RefSeq, a predicted model, not a curated record